UACGGAAGGCAGCAGUGGGGAAUAUUGCACAAUGGGCGAAAGCCUGAUGCAGCUAUGCCGCGUGUAUGAAGAAGGCCUUAGGGUUGUAAAGUACUUUCAUCGGGGAGGAAAAAACAAAACUAAUAAUUUUAUUUCUUGACGUUACCCGAAAAAGAAGCACCGGCUAACUCCGUGCCAGCAGCCGCGGUAAUACGGAGGGUGCUAGCGUUAAUCAGAAUUACUGGGCGUAAAGAGCACGUAGGUGGUUUUUUAAGUCAGAUGUGAAAUCCCUGGGCUUAACCUAGGAACUGCAUUUUGAAACUGAAAUACUAGAGUAUCGUAGAGGGAGGUAGAAUUCUAGGUGUAGCGGUGAAAUGCGUAGAUAUCUGGAGGAAUACCUGUGGCGAAAGCGGCCUCCUAAACGAAUACUGACACUGAGGUGCGAAAGCGUGGGGAGCAAACAGGGAUUAGGAUACC
RNAcentral lists this ribosomal RNA (456 nucleotides) under uncultured bacterium. Its description in RNAcentral is "bacterial SSU rRNA". It matches the Rfam family "Bacterial small subunit ribosomal RNA", at positions 340 to 786 of the family's 1533-position model. The record is from RNAcentral.